UCCAUUCUUUCUCCAGUCUUUUCUUUCUCCAGUCUUUUCUUUCUCCCAUCUUUUCUUUCUCCAGUCUUUUCUUUCUCCAGUCUUUUCUUUCUCCAGUCCAUUCUUCUUUUCUUUCUCCAGUCCAUUCUUUCUCCAGUCCAUUCUUUCUCCAGUCCAUUCUUUCUCCAGUCUUUUCUUUCUCCAGUCUUUUCUUUCUCCAGUCCAUUCUUUCUCAGUCCAUUCUUUCUCCAGUCCAUUCUUUCUCCAGUCUUUUCUUUCUCCAGUCCAUUCUUUCUCCAGUCCAUUCUUUCUCCAGUCUUUUCUUUCUCAGUCUUUUUUUUCUCCAGUCUUUUCUUUCUCCAGUCCAUUCUUUCUCCAGUCCAUUCUUUCUCCAGUCCAUUCUUUCUCCAGUCUUUUCUUUCUCCAGUCUUUUCUUUCUCCAGUCCAUUCUUUCUCCAGUCCAUUCUUUCUCCAGUCCAUUCUUUCUCAGUCCAUUCUUUCUCCAGUCCAUUCUUUCUCCAGUCCAUUCUUUCUCCAGUCCAUUCUUUCUCUCAUCCUUUCUUUCUCCAGUCCAUUCUUUCUCCAGUCUUUUCUUUCACCAGUCCAUUCUUUCUCCAGUCCAUUCUUUCUCCAGUCUUUUCUUUCUCCAGUCCAUUCUUUCUCCAGUCCAUUCUUUCUCCAGUCCAUUCUUUUUCCAGUCCAUUCUUUCUCCAGUCCAUUCUUUCUCCAGUCCAUUUUU
Molecule: long non-coding RNA, 718 nt
Organism: Oncorhynchus tshawytscha (Chinook salmon)
Lineage: Eukaryota; Metazoa; Chordata; Actinopteri; Salmoniformes; Salmonidae
Source: Ensembl